UACGUAGGGUGCAAGCGUUAAUCGGAAUUACUGGGCGUAAAGAGCUCGUAGGCGGCUUGUCACGUCGGGUGUGAAAGCCCGGGGCUUAACCCCGGGUCUGCAUUCGAUACGGGCAGGCUAGAGUGUGGUAGGGGAGAUCGGAAUUCCUGGUGUAGCGGUGAAAUGCGCAGAUAUCAGGAGGAACACCGGUGGCGAAGGCGGAUCUCUGGGCCAUUACUGACGCUGAGGAGCGAAAGCGUGGGGAGCGAACAGG
Molecule: ribosomal RNA, 253 nt
Filed under: uncultured bacterium
Lineage: Bacteria
Description: partial 16S ribosomal RNA
Rfam family: Bacterial small subunit ribosomal RNA
Source: RNAcentral